Molecule: long non-coding RNA, 969 nt
Organism: Amphiprion ocellaris (clown anemonefish)
Lineage: Eukaryota; Metazoa; Chordata; Actinopteri; Pomacentridae
Source: Ensembl
AUGAAAACAAAAAUAGAUGUGAGCUGUCAGAUGAAGUGAAAAGGUUUUUAGAAUCACAUUUCUGAAUUGGACUCAACUGAAAACCAUGAAAUGAUUUAAAAACCAUCUACACCAGAUAAAAGCAGAUCAUCUUGUUAUAUUACAUUUUGGAUUCUCCAGAAGACAAAAUGGGUGUGGGAUUGGCGAUAGCAGUUUUGCUGGUGCUGACAGCACCAAGGGAAGAUUUUGUGACAUCAAUGGCACAGGCAACAACCACAGUGGCCCUAAAAACCACAACUGGUGGAACAAAAGCAGCAGUCAGUCCAACAACAACUAUUUCUAUGACUGAUGAAGGUUGCUCACCAUCUGUGACUCUCAAAGCAACUUUAGAAGAACCAUUUGUUGAAGAAUUCACGAAUAGAACCAGUCCAAGAUUCAAGACUCUCGAGGCAGUAACGAUUCACACCUGCGAUGGCAUCUACGUGGCUCGAUCUGGCUUCCUCUUCAUCCGCACUCUGGUCAUAGGGUUUAGCCCAGCUACAGCCAACUGUAGAACAAGUAAUACUGCAGCAGAGGUGAGGCUUCUUUUCAAUCGCUCUGUGCCAUCUGCACUACUUCCAACUUCUGAUGACGUGGCACAAACCUUGGUGGACGCCAUCCUUGAUCCCAACAGUACCCUCAAUGUCAGCAUUGUUGUCAACUCUGUCCAAGUACUUGGAGCUACAUUCCCUGGAGCAACAGCAACUGCUGGAUCAACAGCAACGGGCGCAUCGACAGCAACUGGUAGAACAGCAGCAGCAGCAGUCAAUGCAACAACAAGUGUUCCUUCUAUUACUGAGGUUCCUCCACCGUCGGUGGAUCUGCGAGCAACACUGGAAGAAGCGUUUGUACCACAAUUCAUGAACAGCAGCAGUGAAGAAUUCAGGAGGCUUGAGGCAACAGUCACACGAUUGUGCGACAGCAUCUACAUGGCUCGAUUUGGCUUCCUCU